RNAcentral lists this ribozyme (249 nucleotides) under Aulacoseira subarctica. RNAcentral describes it as "partial Bacterial RNase P class A". It matches the Rfam family "Bacterial RNase P class A", at positions 31 to 283 of the family's 367-position model. Rfam says of the family: Ribonuclease P (RNase P) is a ubiquitous endoribonuclease, found in archaea, bacteria and eukarya as well as chloroplasts and mitochondria. Its best characterised activity is the generation of mature 5'-ends of tRNAs by cleaving the 5'-leader elements of precursor-tRNAs. Lineage: Eukaryota; Bacillariophyta; Melosirophyceae; Melosirales; Aulacoseiraceae. The record is from RNAcentral.
AAGGCCGCGGGGGAGGAAAGUCCGGGCUCCAUAGGGCGAAGUGCCAGGUAACGCCUGGGAGGCGCGAGCCUACGGAAAGUGCCACAGAAAACAACCGCCUAAGCGCUUCGGCGCCGGUAAGGGUGAAAAGGUGCGGUAAGAGCGCACCGCACGACUGGCAACAGUUCGUGGCUAGGUAAACCCCACUUGGAGCAAGACCAAAUAGGGUCCCAAGGCGUGGCCCGCGCUGGGACCGGGUAGGUUGCUAAA